UGAUGGCCUGAUAAUCAACUUGCCUUGAUAACACGAAGUGCAAGGAUAUUUAUUAUUCAAAAGAAUUUUGAAAUUCUUUAACGAAUGCCCAUAUGAGCUUUCUAUAAUCCAUCUCAUCAUAACCGAUCCUGGGUGUCCCAAUCGAUCAUGCCAAAGUACAAAGGUAUUGGAAUCAGUAACCCUUUGGUUUACUGUUGAAUGUGCCUCAAUUGCACUAANNNN
This 222-nucleotide long non-coding RNA is filed under the name Nicotiana benthamiana. RNAcentral's name for it is "long non-coding RNA (NBEN_LNC036086)". The record is from RNAcentral. Lineage: Eukaryota; Viridiplantae; Streptophyta; Magnoliopsida; Solanales; Solanaceae.